Molecule: small nuclear RNA, 107 nt
Organism: Ochotona curzoniae (black-lipped pika)
Lineage: Eukaryota; Metazoa; Chordata; Mammalia; Lagomorpha; Ochotonidae
Source: RefSeq, a predicted model, not a curated record
GUGCUUGCUUUAGCAGCACAUACACUAAAAUUGGAAUGAUACAGAGAAGAUUAGCAUGGCCCCUGCACAAGGAUGACUUGCAAAUACUUGGGUCUCUGUCAGCCACA